This 74-nucleotide transfer RNA is filed under the name Trichonephila inaurata madagascariensis. RNAcentral's name for it is "tRNA-Cys". It matches the Rfam family "tRNA". Rfam says of the family: Transfer RNA (tRNA) molecules are approximately 80 nucleotides in length. Their secondary structure includes four short double-helical elements and three loops (D, anti-codon, and T loops). The record is from RNAcentral. Lineage: Eukaryota; Metazoa; Arthropoda; Arachnida; Araneae; Nephilidae.
GGGGGUGUAUAACUCAGUGGUAGAGCAUUCGACUGCAGAUUGGGAGGUCCCCGGUUCAAACCCGGGUGCCCCCA